UGCCAGCCGCCGCGGUAAUACGAAGGGUGCUAGCGUUGUUCGGAAUUACUGGGCGUAAAGAGCAUGUAGGCGGAUGAAUUAGUCAGAUGUUAAAUCCUUCGGCUCAACCGAAGUUCGCAUCUAAAACUGGGAAACUAGAGUACAGUAGAGGAAAGCGGAACUCCAGGUGGAGCGGUGAAAUGCGUAGAUAUCUGGAGGAACACCUGUGGCGAAAGCGGCUUACUGGACCUUUUCUGACGCUGAGGUGCGAAAGCUAGGGUAGCGAACGGGAUUAGAUA
This 278-nucleotide ribosomal RNA is filed under the name uncultured bacterium. RNAcentral's name for it is "partial 16S ribosomal RNA". It matches the Rfam family "Bacterial small subunit ribosomal RNA", at positions 506 to 784 of the family's 1533-position model. The record is from RNAcentral.